Molecule: ribosomal RNA, 593 nt
Filed under: uncultured crenarchaeote
Lineage: Archaea; Thermoproteati; Thermoproteota
Description: bacterial SSU rRNA
Rfam family: Archaeal small subunit ribosomal RNA
Source: RNAcentral
CGAGUCAUUGUAGCAUACAAGGCAUACGGCUCAGUAACGCGUAGUCCCUUAACCUAUGGACGGGAAUAACCUCGGGAAACUGAGAAUCCUGCCCGAUAGAACAUUAUGCCUGGAAUGGUUUAUGUUCCAAAUGAUUUAUCGCCGUAGGAUGGGACUGCGGCCUAUCAGUUUGUUGGUGAGGUAAUGGCCCACCAAGACUAUUACAGGUACGGGCUCUGAGAGGAGUAGCCCGGAGAUGGGUACUGAGACACGGACCCAGGCCCUAUGGGGCGCAGCAGGCGAGAAAACUUUGCAAUGUGCGAAAGCACGACAAGGUUAAUCCGAGUGGUUUCUGCUAAAGAAACCUUUUGUCAGUCCUAGAAGCACUGAUGAAUAAGGGGUGGGCAAGUUCUGGUGUCAGCCGCCGCGGUAAAACCAGCACCUCAAGUGGUCAGGAUGAUUAUUGGGCCUAAAGCAUCCGUAGCCGGCUCUGUAAGUUUUCGGUUAAAUCUGUACGCUCAACGUACAGGCUGCCGGGGAUACUGCAGAGCUAGGGAGUGGGAGAGGUAGACGGUACUCGGUAGGAAGGGGUAAAAUCCUUUGAUCUAUUGAUG